CUGGGCGUAAGCGUGCGCAGGCGGAUUGUUAAGCAAGAUGUGAAAUCCCCGGGCUUAACCUGGGAAUGGCAUUUUGAACUGGCAGUCUAGAGUGUGUCAGAGGGGGGUGGAAUUCCACGUGUAGCAGUGAAAUGCGUAGAGAUGUGGAGGAACACCGAUGGCGAAGGCAGCCCCCUGGGAUAACACUGACGCUCAUGUACGAAAGCGUGGGUAGCAAACAGGAUUAGAUACCCUGGUAGUCCACGCCCUAAACGAUGUCAACUGGUUGUUGGGGGAGUGAAAUCCCUUAGUAACGAAGCUAACGCGUGAAGUUGACCGCCUGGGGAGUACGGUCGCAAGAUUAAAACUCAAAGGAAUUGACGGGGACCCGCACAAGCGGUGGAUGAUGUGGAUUAAUUCGAUGCAACGCGAAAAACCUUACCUACCCUUGACAUGGCAGGAACUUUCCAGAGAUGGAUUGGUGCCCGAAAGGGAACCUGCACACAGGUGCUGCAUGGCUGUCGUCAGCUCGUGUCGUGAGAUGUUGGGUUAAGUCCCGCAACGAGCGCAACCCUUAUCAUUAGUUGCUACGCAAGGGCACUCUAAUGAGACUGCCGGUGACAAACCGGAGGAAGGUGGGGAUGACGUCAAGUCCUCAUGGCCCUUAUGGGUAGGGCUUCACACGUCAUACAAUGGUCGGUACAGAGGGUUGCCAACCCGCGAGGGGGAGCCAAUCCCAGAAAGCCGAUCGUAGUCCGGAUUGCAGUCUGCAACUCGACUGCAUGAAGUCGGAAUCGCUAGUAAUCGCGGAUCAGCAUGUCGCGGUGAAUACGUUCCCGGGCCUUGUACACACCGCCCGUCACACCAUGGGAGUGGGUUUCACCAGAAGUAGCUAGCCUAAC
Molecule: ribosomal RNA, 881 nt
Filed under: uncultured bacterium
Lineage: Bacteria
Description: bacterial SSU rRNA
Rfam family: Bacterial small subunit ribosomal RNA
Source: RNAcentral